UCUCUGGUAGCUCAGAUGGUAAAGAAUCUGCCUGUAAUGCAGGAGACCUGGGUUCAAUCCCUGGCUUGUGAA
Molecule: transfer RNA, 72 nt
Filed under: Bos taurus (domestic cattle)
Lineage: Eukaryota; Metazoa; Chordata; Mammalia; Artiodactyla; Bovidae
Also listed under: 2 other names
Rfam family: tRNA
About the family: Transfer RNA (tRNA) molecules are approximately 80 nucleotides in length.
Source: Rfam by way of RNAcentral